Molecule: ribosomal RNA, 323 nt
Filed under: uncultured eukaryote
Lineage: Eukaryota
Description: partial 18S ribosomal RNA
Rfam family: Eukaryotic small subunit ribosomal RNA
Source: RNAcentral
CCCUUAGAUGUUCUGGGCCGCACGCGUGCUACACUGAAUAGUUCAAUGGGUGAGGUAGUGCGAAAGCAUGACCCAAUCUCUAAAUCUAUUCGUGAUGGGGAUAGAAGCUUGCAAUUAUCCUUCUUGAACGAGGAAUACCUUGUAGGCAUAAGUCAUCAUCUUAUGCCGAAUACGUCCCUGCCCUUUGUACACACCGCCCGUCGCUCCUACCGAUUGAAUGGUCCGGUGAAGCGUUCGGACCGUGGCCUUUGGACGGUUCGCCGUCUGUUGGCUGCGGGAAGUUCGUUAAACCUUAUCAUUUAGAGGAAGGAGAAGUCGUAACA